Long non-coding RNA from Athene cunicularia (burrowing owl), 711 nucleotides. RefSeq lists it as uncharacterized. The record is from RefSeq and is a predicted model, not a curated record. The transcript is spliced from 3 exons. NCBI's taxonomy places the organism in Eukaryota, Metazoa, Chordata, Aves, Strigiformes, Strigidae.
CUGGUUAAAAUUGCCCUGACUGGGGAAGAGCCCUGGGGCAGUGGAAGUCAGUCUAUCUAGAGAAUGAGGUGGUCGGCUUCAAACCUACACAGGAGAAUACUUGUAUAGGUGAAAAGACGGCAACAGAAUUUUUAAAAGCAUGACGCUUUAAGCAGUAUUUUUGUCCUUGAUUUUAAGGUGGGUUUUUUUCUCCCUCCUUUUCAUGACACUGAAGCUGGCAUGUUCCCUGGCCUGACAGUUACUGAGGGCAGGACAGUGUUGUCCCCCCAGUACCCUCCAUUAAUCACGCUCUGGCUGCUCCCCCACCACUUUCUGCAGGCUUGUGGAGAGAGAACAAACACAUGGCCCUCUGGUCAUUACUGCCUUCCCCCGACAUCCUCAUGUUUGGUGAACACCUGCAUCACAGUGCAAAGCCCCAAAGAUGAGACCCCGUCUUGCAGCGAAGGUUUCAUCUGCAGAGUCCCGGAGAAUAACUACCUGUCCCAGCUCAAACAGCAUGGAGCAAAAUUCACUCCUUUCUGCAAGAGUAUAAGACUUCUGAUGGGCAUCCAGAUGCCAAAGUGAGAGGGCCUGUGGUCAUCAGCUGAAGCCAAGUGCUCCAGCUCCACUCUGGUGCUGCUCUCUGACUGCCCAUGCUCCAACACCAGAGCUGUGACUGCUCCAUGGAAAACAUCCAUUUCACCCCAGGAGCCUAUUGAAGAUGAGUACAGA